UGAAGGAUGGCAGUUCAUAGCCAUGAUAGCAGUGACUGCUGGGGAAUUAUUACCGCAAACAGAAAAAAAGGGAAAAGCUGGUAUGAAUAUGAAACCAAUCAAGAUAAAUUGUCUGUUGUUUCUUGUACGGACUCUUUUCAGAAGAAAUAUAGAUUUUUAUGAAGUUUUUUGUAAUAAUUGAUUUUGCCACCAUUUUGGUUGCUAAGCGUAUCUAGGAAAAACGUCA
Molecule: long non-coding RNA, 226 nt
Organism: Amphimedon queenslandica
Lineage: Eukaryota; Metazoa; Porifera; Demospongiae; Haplosclerida; Niphatidae
Exons: 2
Source: RefSeq, a predicted model, not a curated record